Molecule: ribosomal RNA, 468 nt
Filed under: uncultured bacterium
Lineage: Bacteria
Description: partial 16S ribosomal RNA
Rfam family: Bacterial small subunit ribosomal RNA
Source: RNAcentral
GACGAACGCUGGCGGCGUGCUUAACACAUGCAAGUCGAACGGAAAGGCCCUGCUUUUGUGGGGUGCUCGAGUGGCGAACGGGUGAGUAACACGUGAGUAACCUACCCUUGACUUUGGGAUAACUUCAGGAAACUGGGGCUAAUACCGGAUAGGAGCUCCUGCUGCAUGGUGGGGGUUGGAAAGUUUCGGCGGUUGGGGAUGGACUCGCGGCUUAUCAGCUUGUUGGUGGGGUAGUGGCUUACCAAGGCUUUGACGGGUAGCCGGCCUGAGAGGGUGACCGGCCACAUUGGGACUGUGAUACGGCCCAGACUCCUACGGGAGGCAGCAGUGGGGAAUAUUGCACAAUGGGCGGAAGCCUGAUGCAGCAACGCCGCGUGCGGGAUGACGGCCUUCGGGUUGUAAACCGCUUUCGCCUGUGACGAAGCGUGAGUGACGGUAAUGGGUAAAGAAGCACCGGCUAACUACGUG